ACAUGUGGUGCCUUAUGCCAAUCUUCAAUAUAUUAUUAUCUGUUAAUAUUACCUUAUGUCACAUACGAAUCCACAAAAACGCAAUUACAGACAAAGAGCUCAUUCGAAUCCUAUUUCAUAUCGUUCUUUAUAUCAUCCAAUUAGGCCACAAUCACUAAAUUUAGGCGCGCUUUACGCUGAAAGUAAUUUAGAUAAAAAAAUAGAAUUUGUUGAUAUAGGUUGUGGCUAUGGAGGACUCUUAACACAUUUAUCUCCUAUCUUUCCUAAUGUCUUAAUGUUGGGAUUAGAAAUAAGAACAAAGGUUUCUGAUUUUGUUAUUGAUACUAUUAAGAGUUUGAGAGAAUAUAAUGAAAUAAGUCAUGCUUAUGGAAAUAUUGCCUGUAUUAGAACUAAUGCCAUGAAAUAUUUACCUAAUUUUUUUGAUAAAAAGCAGGUUAAAAAGUUAUUUAUACUUUUUCCAGAUCCUCAUUUUAAAAAAUCAAAGCACAAAUGGAGAUUUGUUAGUGAAACAAUGAUUGCUGAAAUUGCAUAUAUUCUCCACGAAGAUGGCCUGGUUUAUUCUAUAACUGAUGUUUUUGAUAUGCAUGAAUGGAUUUCAAAACAUUUUAACGAACAUCCCCUUUUUGCAAAACUUUCAAAUGAUGAAAAAUGAUAACCUUUAUUAAAAACUAAAGACCUGAUGCCAUAAAAUUUUAAAUAUCUAGACCAGGGCUGAGAACUUAAACCCCCCAAGAUUUCACUGAUGAGCCAAACCCAUCUAUAAAUUUGAGGGUUCAAGAAUAUUUUUUUUCCUCAAUAUUUAAACAUUUUUUUGUGAAAAUCUUGUGGAAUCAUUUAUAUUUUAUAUCUAGAAUAUAUAUAAAAGUAAUGUCACACUCACAGUCACAAUUUUUUAAUAUAUUUUUAAAAAAUCGUAAAUUUUGAAAGGCAUCUGUGGCCUAAUCGGCAAGAGUUACAAAUCUGAUGGCUUUGAAUUCAAAUCCCAACAAAGAUCAUUUUUUUUUCUUAAUCCAACUUGGUGGUUCCAUCUUUUGGGAUGGGCAUUAACUAAUUGUGCCUGAAAAUGUUAUUUGCAGACCUCUGGUGUUAAAUGCAUGGGAAAAUAAAAGUGGUCGAUACAUAUCAUUUAUAAAGGAUUUUUUGGCAGAGGUAAAAUCCAUUAUGAUCUACUGUUUCCAGUCUGCAUUGGUAAAGUUUUGGUG
RNA transcript from Gordionus sp. m RMFG-2023, 1202 nucleotides. It is a transcript of the gene named tRNA (guanine-N(7)-)-methyltransferase-like, with no coding region annotated. Lineage: Eukaryota; Metazoa; Nematomorpha; Gordioida; Chordodea; Parachordodidae. The record is from RefSeq and is a predicted model, not a curated record. The transcript has 7 exons.